CCUACGGGGAGCUGCAGUGGGGCAUAUUGCACAAUGGGGGAAACCCUGAUGCAGCGACGCCGCGUGAGUGAAGAAGUAAUUCGUUAUGUAAAGCUCUAUCAGCAGGGAAGAAAAUGACGGUACCUGAGUAAGAAGCCCCGGCUAACUACGUGCCAGCAGCCGCGGUAAUACGUAGGGGGCAAGCGUUAUCCGGAUUUACUGGGUGUAAAGGGAGCGUAGACGGCAGUGCAAGUCUGGAGUGAAAGGCGGGGGCGCAACCCCCGGACUGCUCUGGAAACUGUACGGCUGGAGUGCAGGAGAGGUAAGUGGAAUUCCUAGUGUAGCGGUGAAAUGCGUAGAUAUUAGGAGGAACACCAGUGGCGAAGGCGGCUUACUGGACUGUAACUGACGUUGAGGCUCGAAAGCGUGGGGAGCAAACAGGAUUAGAUACCCGGGUAGUC
Molecule: ribosomal RNA, 440 nt
Filed under: uncultured bacterium
Lineage: Bacteria
Description: partial 16S ribosomal RNA
Rfam family: Bacterial small subunit ribosomal RNA
Source: RNAcentral